RNAcentral lists this ribosomal RNA (253 nucleotides) under uncultured bacterium. Its description in RNAcentral is "partial 16S ribosomal RNA". It matches the Rfam family "Bacterial small subunit ribosomal RNA", at positions 524 to 776 of the family's 1533-position model. The record is from RNAcentral.
UACAGAGGUCUCGAGCGUUAGGCGGAAUCACUGGGCUUAAAGCGUGUGUAGGCGGGUCGUUAAGUGCCUUGUGAAAUCCCAUGGCUCAACCAUGGAACUGCUGGGCAUACUGGCGAUCUUGUGCCACCUAGGGGCGAGCGGAACAGAUGGUGGAGCGGUGAAAUGCGUAGAUAUCAUCUGGAACGCCAAUGGUGAAAACAGCUCGCUGGGGGUGUGCAGACGCUGAGACACGAAAGCGUGGGUAGCAAACAGG